CUGACACUGACAGAGAAGCAGAGAGGCACUAUGCAUGGUUCCAAAGUAAUGGCCUGGGGAGACUUAACUGACCUUAAUAGAUAACAAGAGGUUCAUAUUGAUUGACACAGGUCUCACUUUAACUUGGUCUUAAACACCCAGCAGAAAAAAUAACCAAAAGAGGCACAAAACAAUGACAUAAUAAUAAAGCUAGACUUCAGAAAAAUUAAGACAUAGCCCACCCAUUAAAAUCUUUUGGUUCACUCAUGACACAGCCAUUUCAAAAAGACAAAACUUUGGGUACUAAAUAGAAGCAAAAAUCAUUAAUUAGCUACAAGUGUGUACAGAUUCUUUUCAAAAAAAUUUUAAAAAUUCUUUACAGGUAACCAAUCCUAGAAACCACUGGUCUCCAGAUCUCUCCUUUUAGAUAAGUGUUUUUCUGAUUCUGUGAUAACUAAUUAACUAUCGUGUAAUGAUCAAAAAAACCCCAAACAAACCAUAAAGUAAGAGUAUUGAGAAAAAAUCACGUGCUUGUCAGCCACAGUCAGGAUAAGUUCUAUACCAAGCAGCUACAAGAUUUAUUCCUUUUAAAAUAAUGUACAUCCUUGUUCUCUGUUUAUGAUGCCUCUUCUCAUUGUGCUCAUAUUUCCUGGAUACCUACCCUUGUCUAAAAAGAUCAAGCCUUUUAUGUUACACUUGAUCACCUUAAGUCGUCCAGUGUCCUUGUUGAGGUUAUCAGUUCUCUUUAUUUUUAAAUAUAUCUAGGAGGCCUCCAAAAACUGAGAGAUACAGGAAUAAAACUGUCCUGGCCUUGAAUUUAAAGAAGAAGUCAGGUUCAUAGUAAUACUACACUCAUCGGUAUGUUGGCCUCCAAAAGACAUUUGCUCAGUUACAUACACCUUUUAUAUUCCCCCCCGCCCCAAAAAAAGGAUUAUAAAGAUUAUAUAAAUUGUGUUUAUCACUUUUCCACUCAUUCUCUAAGAGCAAGGACAUGACACAUGGGCCCUUAGAUCAGGAGCUAUGAUCUCUUCCAUAACAGUCUCUUACUUCUAUAACAAAUGAGCCCCUAAACAUCCAGCUGUCUCUGUAAAACCUAUGUAAAUAAUAAAUAAAAAAUUACAUGUCAAAUGAAAAAAAUUAAAACUCAAUGGGCCAGAUAGAUAUGCCCCCCAAGGUACUAAUCAAUGGUGGGGUACGUUUGGUUCCUGGAGCUCAUGGCUCACCUGGCUAUUACCACUCUUGGGACCCCUCAGUAUUAUCUGUUUAAUUCUCUGUUUUGGACCAUGCCUGGUUCGCUGUUUUCAAAAUUUCUUGCAGAAACGAUUGAGGGCAUUCACCAGCCAGUCACAGAGUCCAUCAUGGCAGGGUACCAGCCAGUACGGCAAAAGGAGGAGGUCCCCACUUGCCACGUGCCUCAUCAGAUCCAGGUCUAGCCCCGAUCUUCGCCCCUUGUCAGCAGGAAGCAGCUCCAGAAGAAGAGACCUUCGCCCAGCUAUCAUAAAACAAAAGCCUGGAAUGAUAGGUCUCCCACCACCUCAGCAGCUAUUAAGUAUAGUAGCUGCCCUCUUCCUAUGGUGCCUUGCCACCUCCCCUGUGUGACAUCAUGCCAAGAUGGUUGCUCCCACCAAAGAACAAACCCUUCUUCCCAGCAUGCCCCUGUUCCCACCUAGACAGUAACCUAAUACUCGCUCACCUCCUACCACCUAGUGACAUCACCGGCUCCUCCAUUCCCUAGUCACUACCUCACUCAACCCCCCCUCAGCCCCUACAAACCCCACCCCAGUCUCUAUAAAAGACUCUCCCUGCCCCAGCCAUAUUGCUUUUGUCUCUCCUUUGUUCAGAGACAGCCCGGCAGAUCUGUUCCCCUAAUAAAGGCUUGUUGUGGCCUGGUCUGGUCUU
This 1878-nucleotide long non-coding RNA is filed under the name Heterocephalus glaber (naked mole-rat). RNAcentral's name for it is "lncRNA (ENSHGLG00000042722.1)". The record is from RNAcentral. Lineage: Eukaryota; Metazoa; Chordata; Mammalia; Rodentia; Bathyergidae.